GAAUUUUGGACAAUGGGGGCAACCCUGAUCCAGCCAUCCCGCGUGUGCGAUGAAGGCCUUCGGGUUGUAAAGCACUUUUGGCAGGGAAGAAAAGGCUCUGGUUAAUACCUUGAGCAGCUGACGGUACCUGCAGAAUAAGCCCCGCCUAACUACGUGCCAGCAGCCGCGGUAAUACGUAGGGUGCAAGCGUUAAUCGGAAUUACUGGGCGAAAAGCGUGCGCAGGCGGGUCGGCAAGAAGGAUGUGAAAUGCCAGGGCUUAACCUUGGAACUGCAUUCUUAACUGCCGGGCUAGAGUAUGUCAGAGGGGGGUAGAAUUCCGCGUGUAGCAGUGAAAUGCGUAGAGAUGCGGAGGAAUACCGAUGGCGAAGGCAGCCCCCUGGGAUAAUACUGACGCUCAUGCACGAAAGCGUGGGGAGCAAACA
RNAcentral lists this ribosomal RNA (423 nucleotides) under uncultured bacterium. RNAcentral's name for it is "partial 16S ribosomal RNA". It matches the Rfam family "Bacterial small subunit ribosomal RNA", at positions 359 to 774 of the family's 1533-position model. The record is from RNAcentral.